This 283-nucleotide long non-coding RNA is filed under the name Phaseolus vulgaris (common bean). RNAcentral's name for it is "long non-coding RNA (PVUL_LNC002074)". The record is from RNAcentral. Lineage: Eukaryota; Viridiplantae; Streptophyta; Magnoliopsida; Fabales; Fabaceae.
UAGCAUAAGAUCAUAUCAAAAUGUGCAAGACCAAGUUGAACACAAAUCUUCAGUCAUGUAGAUAAAAAGGGAGAUUAGGGACUGAUAUAUGCAGAGGAUAAACAUAGCUCUAAUCAAAAUCUUUUGGGAAAGCAGACAAUACAUUGGAAUGAAACAAUGAUAAUAAUAAGAAGAAGAAGAAGAAAAAGAAGAAAAAAACAGAUGUUGAUGAAACAAUAGAUGAAAAGGGUCUUUAUUCUUUUUCUGUUGUUUGUAUAUAAAGUUGUCCCUCAUUUAUGGCAAG